CAGUUUAUCCAAAAUGAAAGAGAAAUUCAUCCCAUCAGAUGUCAGAAGAUAAGCAAGAUCGAGCCUGGUUCGAACUUGGAUGGAAGACCGCUGGGAAUAUCAGGUGCCACAGUGG
RNAcentral lists this ribosomal RNA (115 nucleotides) under Periophthalmus magnuspinnatus. The record is from RNAcentral. Lineage: Eukaryota; Metazoa; Chordata; Actinopteri; Gobiiformes; Gobiidae.